RNAcentral lists this non-coding RNA (26 nucleotides) under Mus musculus (house mouse). The record is from RNAcentral. Lineage: Eukaryota; Metazoa; Chordata; Mammalia; Rodentia; Muridae.
UAUGCUUGCGAUGGAUAUGUUAAGUG